This 413-nucleotide unclassified non-coding RNA is filed under the name soil metagenome. RNAcentral's name for it is "partial contains 5.8S ribosomal RNA, internal transcribed spacer 2, and large subunit ribosomal RNA". The stretch from base 1 to 120 matches the Rfam family "5.8S ribosomal RNA", at positions 35 to 154 of the family's 154-position model. The record is from RNAcentral.
GAUGAAGAACGUAUCGAAAUGCGAUAAGUAAUGUGAAUUGCAGAAUUCAGUGAAUCAUCGAAUCUUUGAACGCACCUUGCGCUCUUUGGUAUUCCGAAGAGCAUGCCUGUUUGAGUGUCAUGAAAAUAUCAACCUUGACUUGGGUUUUGUGCUCUAGUCUCGGCUUGGAAUUGGGUGCUUGCCGCUUUUACGAGCGGCUCACCUUAAAUGUAUUAGCUGGAUCUGUCUUUGAGACUUGGUUUGACUUGGCGUAAUAAGUAUUUCGCUAAGGACAUUCUUCGGAGUGGCCUCGUUUCUAGGACGCUUGUCCGCUUUCCAAUACAAGUUCCACCUCGUGGACAUGACUUUUUAUUAUCUGGCCUCAAAUCAGGUAGGACUACCCGCUGAACUUAAGCAUAUCAAUAAGCGGAGGA